GACGAACGCUGGCGGCGUGCUUAACACACGCAAGUCGAACGGAAAGGCCCUGCUUUUGUGGGGUGCUCGAGUGGCGAACGGGUGAGUAACACGUGAGUAACCUGCCCUUGACUUUGGGAUAACUUCAGGAAACUGGGGCUAAUACCGGAUAGGAGCUCCUGCUGCAUGGUGGGGGUUGGAAAGUUUCGGCGGUUGGGGAUGGACUCGCGGCUUAUCAGCUUGUUGGUGGGGUAGUGGCUUACCAAGGCUUUGACGGGUAGCCGGCCUGAGAGGGUGACCGGCCACAUUGGGACUGAGAUACGGCCCAGACUCAUACGGGAGGCAGCAGUGGGGAAUAUUGCACAAUGGGCGGAAGCCUGAUGCAGCAACGCCGCGUGCGGGAUGACGGCCUUCGGGUUGUAAACCGCUUUCGCCUGUGACGAAGCGUGAGUGACGGUAAUGGGUAAAGAAGCACCGGCUAACUACGUG
RNAcentral lists this ribosomal RNA (468 nucleotides) under uncultured bacterium. RNAcentral's name for it is "partial 16S ribosomal RNA". It matches the Rfam family "Bacterial small subunit ribosomal RNA", at positions 28 to 507 of the family's 1533-position model. The record is from RNAcentral.